RNAcentral lists this transfer RNA (72 nucleotides) under Pogona henrylawsoni. RNAcentral describes it as "tRNA-Gln". It matches the Rfam family "tRNA". From Rfam's summary of the family: Transfer RNA (tRNA) molecules are approximately 80 nucleotides in length. Their secondary structure includes four short double-helical elements and three loops (D, anti-codon, and T loops). Lineage: Eukaryota; Metazoa; Chordata; Lepidosauria; Squamata; Agamidae. The record is from RNAcentral.
UAGGGGAUAGUAUAAUUGGAAGUACUAAAAAUUUUGAGUUUUUAGGUAUGGGUUCGAGUCCUUUUCCUCUAG